Molecule: ribosomal RNA, 241 nt
Filed under: uncultured bacterium
Lineage: Bacteria
Description: partial 16S ribosomal RNA
Rfam family: Bacterial small subunit ribosomal RNA
Source: RNAcentral
GAGCGUUGUCCGGAUUUAUUGGGCGUAAAGAGCUCGUAGGCGUCUUGUUGCGUCGACCGUGAAAACCCGUGGCUUAACUGCGGGCUUGCGGUCGAUACGGGCGGGCUGGAGUUCGGUAGGGGAGACUGGAAUUUACGGUGUAGCAGUGAAAUGCGUAGAGAUCGUAAGGAAGACCAGUGGCGAAGGCGGGUCUCUGGACAGUUCCUGACACUGAGGCACGAAGGCCAGGGGAGCAAACGGG